CGGUGGUGGUGAUGCAUUUUUCUCAGACUGCUGAAGAAAUAGCUUUCAUGUGACCAUGAAGUCAGCAUAAGGAUGAAAGCCAGAAAGCCAGGACAGAAAGACAGAGCCCAAAGAAUUCAUCUCGAUUCCAGUCUGGAACACUUCUUCAUAAGCUCUUCACUGAAGAAAUAAGUAAGUGUCCAGAAGAAUGGAGUGUGUUGAAGAAAGAAAGGAAGCAAGGUGGGCUCAAGGAAUAUUUCAUACUUGGAAGAAAAAAACUACCAGAAUAAAGAGCCCCAGAAACCC
Long non-coding RNA from Mastomys coucha (southern multimammate mouse), 285 nucleotides. RefSeq lists it as uncharacterized. The record is from RefSeq and is a predicted model, not a curated record. Lineage: Eukaryota; Metazoa; Chordata; Mammalia; Rodentia; Muridae. The transcript has 3 exons.